GCACCGAUGUCCGAGUGGUUAAGGAGAUUGACUAGAAAUCAAUUGGGCUCUGCCCGCGUAGGUUCGAAUCCUGCUCGGUGCG
Non-coding RNA from Heligmosomoides polygyrus, 82 nucleotides. Lineage: Eukaryota; Metazoa; Nematoda; Chromadorea; Rhabditida; Heligmosomidae. The record is from Rfam.